GGAGUCGGCCAGACAGUCGCCGCCGCAUGCGGUUCGCCGUAUGUGGGGGAGGAAAGUCCGGGCUCCACAGGGCAAGGUGCCAGGUAACGCCUGGGCGGCGCGAGCCGACGGAAAGUGCAACAGAGAGCAGACAGCCGAACGAUGGCCCACCUCGGUGGAACCAUGCGUGGUGAUGGUGAAACGGUGCGGUAAGAGCGCACCGCACGCGGGGCCAACGCCGCGUGGCACGGCAAACCCCACCUGGAGCAAGACCAAAUAGGGACGCAAUGCCGUGGCCCGCGGUGCGUCCGGGUAGGUUGCUUGAGCCGGGCGGCGACGCCCGGCCUAGAAGAAUGACUGUCCCCGACAGAACCCGGCUUAUCGGCCGGCUCCGCAG
This 376-nucleotide RNase P RNA is filed under the name Pseudomarimonas arenosa. Its description in RNAcentral is "RNase P RNA component class A". It matches the Rfam family "Bacterial RNase P class A". Rfam says of the family: Ribonuclease P (RNase P) is a ubiquitous endoribonuclease, found in archaea, bacteria and eukarya as well as chloroplasts and mitochondria. Its best characterised activity is the generation of mature 5'-ends of tRNAs by cleaving the 5'-leader elements of precursor-tRNAs. Cellular RNase Ps are ribonucleoproteins. Lineage: Bacteria; Pseudomonadati; Pseudomonadota; Gammaproteobacteria; Lysobacterales; Lysobacteraceae. The record is from RNAcentral.